This 579-nucleotide ribosomal RNA is filed under the name uncultured Chitinophagaceae bacterium. RNAcentral's name for it is "bacterial SSU rRNA". It matches the Rfam family "Bacterial small subunit ribosomal RNA", at positions 102 to 679 of the family's 1533-position model. The record is from RNAcentral. Lineage: Bacteria; Pseudomonadati; Bacteroidota; Chitinophagia; Chitinophagales; Chitinophagaceae.
ACGGGUGCGGAACACGUACAGAACCUUCCUUUAAGUGGGGAAUAGCCCAGGGAAACUUGGAUUAAUACCCCGUAAUAUUAUGAAGCGGCAUCGCUUUAUAAUUAUAGCUCCGGCGCUUGAAGAUGGCUGUGCGGCUGAUUAGGUAGUUGGCGGGGUAACGGCCCACCAAGCCUACGAUCAGUAACUGGUGUGAGAGCGCGACCAGUCACACGGGCACUGAGACACGGGCCCGACUCCUACGGGAGGCAGCAGUAAGGAAUAUUGGUCAAUGGACGCAAGUCUGAACCAGCCAUGCCGCGUGGAGGAUGAAGGUCCUCUGGAUUGUAAACUUCUUUUCUCUGGGGCGAAAAAAGCUCAUUCUUGGGCACUUGACAGUACCAGAGGAAUAAGCACCGGCUAACUCCGUGCCAGCAGCCGCGGUAAUACGGAGGGUGCAAGCGUUAUCCGGAUUCACUGGGUUUAAAGGGUGCGUAGGAGGGCAGGUAAGUCAGUGGUGAAAUCCCCGAGCUUAACUUGGGAACUGCCGUUGAUACUAUCUGUCUUGAAUAUUGUGGAGGUAAGCGGGAUAUGUCAUGUAGC